Molecule: long non-coding RNA, 388 nt
Organism: Hippocampus comes (tiger tail seahorse)
Lineage: Eukaryota; Metazoa; Chordata; Actinopteri; Syngnathiformes; Syngnathidae
Exons: 3
Source: RefSeq, a predicted model, not a curated record
GGUCCAGCUGCAGACCCAGAGGAGGCCGAUUCAGGCAAAGGUAGGUUUAGGCAAGUAACUUUGCGCCGGAUAUGACGUCAGAAGGAUGAUGCCCGAUUCCGAAAUGCAUGUCACAAUACAACGAGGGACAUCUGUCCCUGAGCUGCAAAAAUGCAACACAUGUUGCAGUAUGUACCACUGUCCAUUCUGCCAGCCCGCAUGGUUUAAAGCCCCAUACUACUGCAAGGUAAAGGACCAUGUGGAGGGCCAUUUUAACCGAGCAGUAUCACAUGACGGGUAUACCAUUCAUAGAUGUGGGCUACAAUGCCGACCAAAACUGCACUUUCAUUGCAUCUAUUGCCGUGGAAUUAUAGUACGCCGGGUACCCUUCAUAAAUCACCUUCGCAUG